Molecule: transfer RNA, 72 nt
Filed under: Candidatus Hodgkinia cicadicola
Lineage: Bacteria; Pseudomonadati; Pseudomonadota; Alphaproteobacteria; Hyphomicrobiales
Description: tRNA-Pro
Rfam family: tRNA
About the family: Transfer RNA (tRNA) molecules are approximately 80 nucleotides in length. Their secondary structure includes four short double-helical elements and three loops (D, anti-codon, and T loops). Further hydrogen bonds mediate the characteristic L-shaped molecular structure. tRNAs have two regions of fundamental functional importance: the anti-codon, which is responsible for specific mRNA codon recognition, and the 3' end, to which the tRNAs corresponding amino acid is attached (by aminoacyl-tRNA synthetases). tRNAs cope with the degeneracy of the genetic code in two manners: having more than one tRNA (with a specific anti-codon) for a particular amino acid; and 'wobble' base-pairing, i.e. permitting non-standard base-pairing at the 3rd anti-codon position.
Source: RNAcentral
CGGAGCAUGCUUGUAAUGGUAGCAUUUUUGGUUUGGGACCAAAAGAUGAAAGUUCGAGUCUUUCUGUUCCGA